Molecule: ribosomal RNA, 301 nt
Filed under: uncultured bacterium
Lineage: Bacteria
Description: partial 16S ribosomal RNA
Rfam family: Bacterial small subunit ribosomal RNA
Source: RNAcentral
CAGCCGCCGCGGUAAAACAGAGGGUGCGAGCGUUAAUCGGAUUUACUGGGCGUAAAGCGUGCGUAGGCGGCUUCUUAAGUCGGAUGUGAAAUCCCUGAGCUUAACUUAGGAAUUGCAUUCGAUACUGGGAAGCUAGAGUAUGGGAGAGGAUGGUAGAAUUCCAGGUGUAGCGGUGAAAUGCGUAGAGAUCUGGAGGAAUACCGAUGGCGAAGGCAGCCAUCUGGCCUAAUACUGACGCUGAGGUACGAAAGCAUGGGGAGCAAACAGGAUUAGAUACCCGCGUAGUCCCUGUCUCUUAUAA